UACGUAGGGGGCAAGCGUUGUCCGGAUUUAUUGGGCGUAAAGGGCGCGUAGGCGGUCAGCACAAGUCAGUUGUGAAAUCUCCGGGCUUAACUCGGAAAGGUCAACUGAUACUGUGCGACUAGAGUGCAGAAGGGGCAACUGGAAUUCUCGGUGUAGCGGUGAAAUGCGUAGAUAUCGAGAGGAACACCUGCGGCGAAGGCGGGUUGCUGGGCUGACACUGACGCUGAUGCGCGAAAGCCAGGGGAGCGAACGGG
Molecule: ribosomal RNA, 254 nt
Filed under: uncultured bacterium
Lineage: Bacteria
Description: partial 16S ribosomal RNA
Rfam family: Bacterial small subunit ribosomal RNA
Source: RNAcentral